GGUUAAGUAACAUAAUGGUAAUGUAUUGGAUUGCAAAUCCUAGAAUGGCGGUUCAAGUCCGCCCUUAACCU
RNAcentral lists this transfer RNA (71 nucleotides) under Nephroselmis olivacea. Its description in RNAcentral is "tRNA-Cys". It matches the Rfam family "tRNA". From Rfam's summary of the family: Transfer RNA (tRNA) molecules are approximately 80 nucleotides in length. Their secondary structure includes four short double-helical elements and three loops (D, anti-codon, and T loops). Further hydrogen bonds mediate the characteristic L-shaped molecular structure. tRNAs have two regions of fundamental functional importance: the anti-codon, which is responsible for specific mRNA codon recognition, and the 3' end, to which the tRNAs corresponding amino acid is attached (by aminoacyl-tRNA synthetases). tRNAs cope with the degeneracy of the genetic code in two manners: having more than one tRNA (with a specific anti-codon) for a particular amino acid; and 'wobble' base-pairing, i.e. permitting non-standard base-pairing at the 3rd anti-codon position. Lineage: Eukaryota; Viridiplantae; Chlorophyta; Nephroselmidophyceae; Nephroselmidales; Nephroselmidaceae. The record is from RNAcentral.